Molecule: ribosomal RNA, 253 nt
Filed under: uncultured bacterium
Lineage: Bacteria
Description: partial 16S ribosomal RNA
Rfam family: Bacterial small subunit ribosomal RNA
Source: RNAcentral
UACGUAGGGUGCAAGCGUUGUCCGGAAUUAUUGGGCGUAAAGAGCUCGUAGGCGGUCUGUCGCGUCGAGUGUGAAAACCCGGGGCUCAACCCCGGGCCUGCAUUCGAUACGGGCAGACUAGAGUUCGGUAGGGGAGUCUGGAAUUCCUGGUGUAGCGGUGAAAUGCGCAGAUAUCAGGAGGAACACCGGUGGCGAAGGCGGGACUCUGGGCCGAUACUGACGCUGAGGAGCGAAAGCGUGGGGAGCAAACAGG